CCCUUAGAUGUUCUGGGCUGCACGCGCGCUACACUGAUGCACUCAACGAGUUUACGACCUUGCCCGAUAGGGUUGGGUAAUCUUUUUAAAAUGCAUCGUGAUGGGGAUAGAUUAUUGCAAUUAUUAAUCUUCAACGAGGAAUUCCUAGUAAGCGCGAGUCAUCAGCUCGUGCUGAUUACGUCCCUGCCUUUUGUACACACCGCCCGUCGCUCCUACCGAUUGAGUGCUCAGGUGAAUAAUUCGGACUGCAGCAAUGUUUGGAUCCCGAACGUUGCAGCGGAAAGUUUAGUGAACCUUAUCACUUAGAGGAAGGAGAAGUCGUAACA
This 326-nucleotide ribosomal RNA is filed under the name uncultured eukaryote. RNAcentral's name for it is "partial 18S ribosomal RNA". It matches the Rfam family "Eukaryotic small subunit ribosomal RNA", at positions 1470 to 1796 of the family's 1831-position model. The record is from RNAcentral.